CCUACGGGUGGCAGCAGUGGGGAAUAUUGCACAAUGGGGGAAACCCUGAUGCAGCGACGCCGCGUGAGUGAAGAAGUAUGUCUGUAUGUAAAGCCCUAUCAGUAGGGAAGAAAAUGACGGUACCCACAGAGGAAUCACCGGCUAACUCCGUGCCAGCAGCCGCGGUAAUACGGAGGGUGCAAGCGUUGUCCGGAAUCAUUGGGCGUAAAGAGUUCGUAGGCGGCAUGUAAAGUCAGGUGGUAAAGGCGCAGGCUCAACCUGGGUAGGGCACUUGAUACUGGCAAGCUGGAAUGCGGUAGAGGUAAAGGGAAUUCCUGGUGUAGCGGUGAAAUGCUGAGAUAUCAGGAGGAACAUCGGUGGCGUAAGCGCUUUACUGGGCCGUAAUUGACGCUGAGGAACGAAAGCCAGGGUAGCAAAUGGGAUUAGAUACCCGAGUAGUC
Molecule: ribosomal RNA, 440 nt
Filed under: uncultured bacterium
Lineage: Bacteria
Description: partial 16S ribosomal RNA
Rfam family: Bacterial small subunit ribosomal RNA
Source: RNAcentral